UACGGAGGUGGCAAGCGUUGUUCGGAAUUACUGGGGGUAAAGGGCGCGUAGGCGGCAAGGCAAGUCAGGUGUGAAAGCCCCGAGCUUAACUCGGGAAUUGCAUCUGAAACUGCUGUGCUUGAGUUCUGGAGGGGGUAGUGGAAUUCCCAGUGUAGCGGUGAAAUGCGUAGAGAUGUGGAGGAACACCGAUGGCGAAGGCAGCCUUCUGGGCCAACACUGACGCUCAUGCACGAAAGCGUGGGGAGCAAACAGG
RNAcentral lists this ribosomal RNA (253 nucleotides) under uncultured bacterium. RNAcentral describes it as "partial 16S ribosomal RNA". It matches the Rfam family "Bacterial small subunit ribosomal RNA", at positions 524 to 776 of the family's 1533-position model. The record is from RNAcentral.